UUAGUUAGUGUCAGCAACGCUCCCCAAGGCACGAUCGUAGCGACUUGGAGGCGAUCGGCCCCACCGGCCUCAACCCGUCCAGAUUCUACGGGAGGAGCAGUAGGAAUCUUCCGCAAUGACGAAAGUCUGACGGACCACCGCCGCGUGAGUGAUGAAGGUCUUCGGAUCGUAAAGCUCUGUUGUUAGGGAAGAACCAAGUCCCGUUCGAAUAGGCCGGUACCUUGACGGUACCUAACCAGAAAGCCACGGGUAACUACGUGCCAGCAGCCGCGGUAAUACGUAGGUGGCAAGCGUUGUCCGGAAUUAUUGGGCGUAAAGGGCUCGCAGGCGGUUUCUUAAGUCUGAUGUGAAAGCCCCCGGCUCAACCGGGGAGGGUCAUUGGAAACUGGGGAACUUGAGUGCAGAAGAGGAGAGUGGAAUUCCACGUGUAGCGGUGAAAUGCGUAGAGAUGUGGAGGAACACCAGUGGCGAAGGCGACUCUCUGGUCUGUAACUGACGCUGAGGAGCGAAAGCGUGGGGAGCGAACAGGAUUAGAUACCCUGGUAGUCCACGCCGUAAACGAUGAGUGCUAAGUGUUAGGGGGUUUCCGCCCCUUAGUGCUGCAGCUAACGCAUUAAGCACUCCGCCUGGGGAGUACGGUCGCAAGACUGAAACUCAAAGGAAUUGACGGGGGCCCGCACAAGCGGUGGAGCAUGUGGUUUAAUUCGAAGCAACGCGAAGAACCUUACCAGGUCUUGACAUCCUCUGACAAUCCUAGAGAUAGGACGUCCCCUUCGGGGGCAGAGUGACAGGUGGUGCAUGGUUGUCGUCAGCUCGUGUCGUGAGAUGUUGGGUUAAGUCCCGCAACGAGCGCAACCCUUGAUCUUAGUUGCCAGCAUUCAGUUGGGCACUCUAAGGUGACUGCCGGUGACAAACCGGAGGAAGGUGGGGAUGACGUCAAAUCAUCAUGCCCCUUAUGACCUGGGCUACACACGUGCUACAAUGGACAGAACAAAGGGUAGCGAAACCGCGAGGUUAAGCCAAUCCCACAAAUCUGUUCUCAGUUCGGAUCGCAGUCUGCAACUCGACUGCGUGAAGCUGGAAUCGCUAGUAAUCGCGGAUCAGCAUGCCGCGGUGAAUACGUUCCCGGGCCUUGUACACACCGCCCGUCACACCACGAGUAGUUUGUAACACCCGAAGUCGGUGAGGUAACCUUUUAGUAGCCAGCCGCCGUAGUGACGGGUCUUCCCCCUACGCC
This 1237-nucleotide ribosomal RNA is filed under the name Bacillus subtilis. RNAcentral describes it as "bacterial SSU rRNA". It matches the Rfam family "Bacterial small subunit ribosomal RNA", at positions 245 to 1487 of the family's 1533-position model. The record is from RNAcentral. Lineage: Bacteria; Bacillati; Bacillota; Bacilli; Caryophanales; Bacillaceae.